GGGGAAUAUUGCACAAUGGGCGAAAGCCUGAUGCAGCAACGCCGCGUGAGUGAGGACGGCCUUCGGGUUGUAAAACUCUGUUCUUGAGGAAGAAUUCCUUCCAGGCGAACAGCCUGGAAGGUUGACGGUACUCAAGGAGAAAGCCCCGGCUAACUACGUGCCAGCAGCCGCGGUAAUACGUAGGGGGCGAGCGUUAUCCGGAAUUAUUGGGCGUAAAGCGCGCGCAGGCGGCUGAUUAAGUCAGGUGUGAAAGGCUGCGGCUCAACCGCAGAGCGGCACCUGAAACUGGUCAGCUUGAGUGCAGGAGAGGGGAGCGGAAUUCCCGGUGUAGCGGUGGAAUGCGUAGAGAUCGGGAGGAACACCAGUGGCGAAGGCGGCUCUCUGGCCUGUAACUGACGCUGAGGCGCGAAAGCGUGGGGAGCAAAC
This 426-nucleotide ribosomal RNA is filed under the name uncultured bacterium. RNAcentral describes it as "bacterial SSU rRNA". It matches the Rfam family "Bacterial small subunit ribosomal RNA", at positions 356 to 773 of the family's 1533-position model. The record is from RNAcentral.